CUGGCUCAGGAUGAACGCUAGCUACAGGCUUAACACAUGCAAGUCGAGGGCAGCAUGGAGUUGCUGCAAACUCUGAUGGCGACCGGCGCACGGGUGAGUAACGCGUAUCCAACCUCCCUAUAGUAGAGGAUAGCCCGGCGAAAGUCGGAUUAAUACUCUAUGUUUUCCGUUGCAGACAUCUAAGAUGGAACAAAGGCUUGCCGCUAUAGGAUGGGGAUGCGUCUGAUUAGGUAGUCGGCGGGGUAACGGCCCACCGAGCCAUCGAUCAGUAGGGGUUCUGAGAGGAAGGUCCCCCACAUUGGAACUGAGACACGGUCCAAACUCCUACGGGAGGCAGCAGUGAGGAAUAUUGGUCAAUGGGCGAGAGCCUGAACCAGCCAAGUAGCGUGCAGGAUGACGGCCCUAUGGGUUGUAAACUGCUUUUAUGCGGGGAUAAAGUUCACUACGUGUAGUGUUUUGUAGGUACCGCAUGAAUAAGGACCGGCUAAUUCCGUGCCAGCAGCAGC
Molecule: ribosomal RNA, 506 nt
Filed under: uncultured bacterium
Lineage: Bacteria
Description: bacterial SSU rRNA
Rfam family: Bacterial small subunit ribosomal RNA
Source: RNAcentral